GACGAACGCUGGCGGCGUGCUUAACACAUGUCAAGUCGAACGAGAGGACAUGGGAAGCUUGCUUCCUAUGAAAUCGAGUGGCAAACGGGUGAGUAACGCGUAAACAACCUGCCCUUCGGAUGGGGAUAACAGCCGGAAACGGCUGCUAAUACCGAAUACGAUCUUUUCGUCGCAUGACGGAAAGAAGAAAGGAUGGCCUCUAUACAAAGCUAUCGCCGAAGGAGGGGUUUGCGUCUGAUUAGCUGGUUGGAGGGGUAACGGCCCAACAAGGCGAUGAUCAGUAGCCGGUCUGAGAGGAUGAACGGCCACAUUGGGACUGAGACACGGCCCAGACUCCUACGGGAGGCAGCAGUGGGGAAUCUUCCGCAAUGGACGAAAGUCUGACGGAGCAACGCCGCGUGAGUGAAGUAGGUCUUCGGAUUUGUAAGCUCUGUUAUACGGGACGAAWAAAGANCGGAUGCCAACCAGUAUCCGUCCCGUGACGGGUACCGUAAGAGAAAGCCACGGCUAACUACGUGCCAGCAGCCGCGGUAAUACGUAGGUGGCAAGCGUUGUCCGGAAUUAUUGGGCGUAAAGGGCGCGCAGGCGGUUCGGUAAGUCUGUCUUAAAAGUGCGGGGCUUAACCCCGUGAGGGGACGGAAACUGUCGAACUUGAGUGUCGGAGAGGAAAGCGGAAUUCCUAGUGUAGCGGUGAAAUGCGUAGAUAUUAGGAGGAACACCGGUGGCGAAAGCGGCUUUCUGGACGACAACUGACGCUGAGGCGCGAAAGCGUGGGGAGCAAACAGGAUUAGAUCCCCUGGUAGUCCACGCCGUAAACGAUGGAUACUAGGUGUAGGAGGUAUCGNCCCCUUCUGUGCCGUAGUUAACGCUAUAAGUAUCCCGCCUGGGGAGUACGGCCGCAAGGUUG
This 907-nucleotide ribosomal RNA is filed under the name uncultured Megasphaera sp. Its description in RNAcentral is "bacterial SSU rRNA". It matches the Rfam family "Bacterial small subunit ribosomal RNA", at positions 28 to 896 of the family's 1533-position model. The record is from RNAcentral. Lineage: Bacteria; Bacillati; Bacillota; Negativicutes; Veillonellales; Veillonellaceae.